This 85-nucleotide non-coding RNA is filed under the name unclassified sequences. RNAcentral's name for it is "c-di-GMP sequence". It matches the Rfam family "c-di-GMP-II-GAG riboswitch aptamer". The record is from Rfam by way of RNAcentral.
GCGUCGGCGGGAGGCUCCGACUCGCGGUCCACGCCUUGGCCGCUGGGACCGCGCCGAGCCACUGGCGAGACCGACCCGCGUGCUC